UAGUAGUGCAGAUUCAGUAAAUAGUCUGACAGUGUUGAGGGAAUUAUUUGUUUAGCAGAGUGAUGGCCUUCGGGAAAAAACUGUUCUUGUGUCUAGUUGUUCUGGUGUGCAGUGCUCUAUAGCGUCGUUUUGAGGGUAGGAGUUGAAACAGUUUAUGUCCAGGAUGCGAGGGGUCUGUAAAUAUUUUCACGGCCCUCUUCUUGAUUCGUGCAGUAUACAGGUCCUCAAUGGAAGGCAAGUUGGUAGCAAUUAUUUUUUCUGCAGUUCUAAUUAUCCUCUGAAGUCUGUGUUUUUCUUGUUGGGUUGCAGAACCGAACCAGACAGUUAUAGAGGUGCAAAUGACAGACUCAAUAAUUCCUCUGUAGAACUGGAUCAGCAGCUCCUUGGGCAGUUUGAGCUUACUGAGUUGGCGCAGAAAGAACAUUCUUUGUUGUCCUUUUUUAAUGAUGUUUUUGAUGUUAGCUGUCCAUUUGAGAUCUUGCGAUAUGAUAGAACCCAAAAAUUUGAAGUGGGUGGCGACUGGUGUAGUUUUUUGUCUGCUAAAAACCGUACUUAUUUUUUUUUUUAUCAAAAGCAAACCGGGAGCCCAUGCUAAGACCAUGACACUUUUGGAUUCUAAUAGUGGCUAUCAGAAUAACAAUAUCGUAGAAUCUAUUUAAAAGCGGGUCUAUUGAAAACAGAUCGCUUCGUCAGUAAUGGUGGGCAGGAUUACGCUGUAAAAGGCUAUAGCUGCUGCCUUAGACGGAUUUACCUAGAAGCAACCUUUGUGACGCGGGCUAUUUCAUGCAGAAAGGAACCUAAAGGAAACAUUUGUUUUAAAAUUCUUUUAAGGGAUUUGAGAAUAUCCCUUUGCCUUUGUUUUUUCAAGAAAUCUGAUUGGAUUCAUUCCUAUAUUUUAUUGUAAAUUUCUGAAAAGACCUUUUCUGGAUGAUUGACAGAAAUGAAUUUUAGGCUUUUGCUGUUCUUUGUGCAUUUAUUCCUAAUCCACUGGUAGCAGCAUGUAUACAGGUAGUCCUCGGUUUACGUUUGUUUAAUGACCAAAGUUAUAACAGGACUGAAAAAGUGAUUUAUGACUAUUUUUCAUACUUACAACUGUUGCUGUAUCCCCAUGGUCACAUGAUCAAAAUUCAGAUGUUUGGCAGCUGACUCAUUUAUGAUGGUGGCAGUGUCCUGGGGUUACCGUAUGUAAUCACCAUUGCAGAAUAAAAUCGAACUGUUAUUGGCUAAUAGUUGUCCUAUGCAUUUUGUUCAAAGAUAGUACUUUUCAAGAUGGAUGGCAUUGCUUAGUGAAACAUUGACAACUUCCCAGAUUCAGCCUUCAAUUUCUCCAUCUGCUGAAGGAGCUAGGUCAUAUGACUGAGCUUCUGCCGUCCCAUACUCUAUUCACGUCCUCAGAAUUCAAAGCAUCACAAGGCUUUACCUCUGUUAUUUUCAUAGAUCCUGCCCAUGCGAAAUGUCCGCAUUUCCAAAUAGUUGAUCAUUGAAGAAAAAUUGUAUCCUUCUCUGCCUGAUAGGUAAUUAAUCCAAGAAACAGCUCUUGCUGACAUAUUCUUGGUCUUGACAAUCUUUGUAGCAUAUUCAUGUGAUAAAUCUUUUUUAGCUAAUGGGCGGAAGGAAUAACCUUGAGGAAAUGGAAGAAGAGCCCCAAUCAAUAAAAGAGUCAAAUAAAAGAGGGCUGCAUGCAGGGCAGAAGUUCUCUAACCUGAAUAAGCAUCUCAGACCAGACCCACCUAGUUCUCAUGAAGUUAAAGGAAGGGAGGGGGAAAGCAUAUCCAGACUUGCAAGAUUCUGUUUAUGUAACAUUAUAAUAAAAAUACAUUAGCAUGUAUGAUUUUGGUUUCCUAGCCUGGUCUACUGUAAAAGGCUGACACAUUUCCAUAUUGCUGAGAGAGAGCUCCCUUGCCAGGGUUCUCACAACAUUCUUGUCUUUCUACUUCAGUCUCCUUCCUCUUUAUGCCGAUGCUGAUGUAAGUCUCUUUUUGUUUUAGUGUGUUUUUGAAUUCCCCCAUAAUAGUUUAUAAUCAGUAUUUUACAGCUUAAUAGUAUUAUGCAAUCCCAGCUAGUUAGACUGGAUUCAUACACAUAAUUUCAAUGCCCCCCCACCCGAUUUUAAAAUGUUUAAAAGUUAUAGGAUACAGUAUCAAAAUCUGGGUUAAAUAGUUCAAUGAUUAUCAGUAAUAAAUUGCUUUUUAAACAUACUUUCCAAAUGUAGCAAGGGCAUUAAAAUAUGAAAACAAAAUAAACUAGAGGUUUGAAGUCUGAAUAAGAAUGAAUAAGGUGCUAAUAAAUGGUUUUUGAUCAUAAUAUAUCAUCUUUACAAUUUUAACAUUUUGUAUUGGAUUUACUGAAGUUCUUAUUUUAUGUUUACAUGAACAGAUAUCUUUGUAAUGUAAGCUGUGUUAUAACAGAAAGUUAUUUACAGCCUUCCUCUUCUUGUUAGCUGGUUAUAGAAAUUGAAGUAAUUUUAGUCACUUUUGGGGGAUCAUGGUGACUGAUAAAAAUAAAGCUAAACAGCUUUAUCUUCUCAAAUAACCUUCUGGCUGAGUUUAUUACUCAAAUAUGGCAGGAGGCAAAUAAGCUAUCACCAGAAAAAGAUCAUGUUAGAUAUACCAUAGAUUUUAAUAACAUAUAUGAUAUUGGGACUGGAAUGGUUACAUUUAAAAUACAGACCGAAUGAAAAUACUUGUUUAUUGUUAUGGUCAAGUGGAUCUUCUCAUUUAAUAACAUUAUUUCAGAAAAGUUUUGGUAACAUGUAAUUCAUUGUACUUUUCUGGCUGCUUCAAAAAUAUUAAGGCUGCAGUCUCCAGCUACUACUAGCAAGAGAAAGGUGUUGUUAAGAUCAUUUUUAAAGUUACCAUAGUAAUUGAAAAUAUUUCUGAUAAACAGAAAAUUAAUUGAAGAAGUAAAUGGAAACUGCUUGGGAAUAUAGGUAGUCCUUGACUGAUGACUACAAUUCAGCCCAAAAUUUCUAUUGCUAAGUGAGACAGUUGUUAAGUGAAUUUUGCCCCUUUUUGUGACUUUUCUUGCCACAGCUGUUAAGUAGAUCAAUGCAGUUGUUAAGUUAGUAACGUGGCUAUUAAGGGAAUCUGGUUUCCCAUUGACUUUGCUUGUCAGAAGGUUGCAAAAGGUGAUCACAAAAACCCAGGACACUGCAACUGUCAUAAAUAUUAGUCAGUUGCCAAGCAUCUGACCACAAGGAUGCUGCAGUGUGAAAAGGGUCAUAAGUCAUUUUUUUAGGGCCAUUGUAAUUUCAAAUGAUCAGUAAAUAAACUGUUGAGGACUGCCUAUACUUGAAAAAGAUGUGGCAAUGUCAGUUUCACUUUUAGCUUUUACCCAGUUUGAACUUUUUAAUGCAUAUUUAGUUUAAAUUUUUUCUUUAAUAUACUGACCAAGAAAAUGAAAUUACCAUGUUAUAUCAGACUUUUAAAACCACAUGCAUUAAAGAUGCUAAAUUAUAUAAUAGUUUUAAUUUUGGUUUAAUGGUGACUCAAGCUACUAUGAUUUAUAAGCUAUGGUUUCUUCUUCUGGAUAUUAUGCAAAUGUACCCAGUGAAGGUAUAUUUAGUAAAACAUAUGUUAAUUAAUGUAUGGUUUACUACAAAAUACAAACCAUCUAAGCAAUGGCUGAUUUAAUCACAAUUUGUUAAAUAAGCAAGAAUGAUCGUUGCUGAAUAGAUUGUGCAUACCUGCUGAAAUCUCAUAAAUAUUUAUGAGACAUUUUGAUUCAGCAAAGAAUUAGCUAGCAGAAUAAAGACUCAUAUUUUAAUGCGAAUUUAAUUUAAAAUGUUAAAAUAUCUGCCUUUUAUUUCAGCCUUUCAGCCUAACUGUUUAUAUCAAUAACUAUGGCUACAGAAUAAUGAGAUUUGUUUGUGGCUUACUAUGGUCUAUGUAUAGUAUCUUGCUAAUUGGGUCUUGUUCAGAAAAUCAUUAUAAAAAUGAAAUCAUGGUUUAGCACCACACAUAUAGCCAACUAAAGGGCAAUGUGCAUAUUAUUAACUGUCAGCUAGAAUGAUGCAUGAAUAUAUACAUAAAGUAAUGUGAAGCCAUCCAAAAUAAUUUAAAAUAAAAUAGUUUAUUGUGGACAUAAAUGUAGACAAUUUAGAAUGAUAUUUUUAACAAUGUUAACAAAUGUUUAUAAGUAUUACAAUAUUGUGAUUGAUCCCCCUAAAUUCUAUAUAUUCCUGAUUUCUUUUGUUUCUUAAUUAUAUUUAGAAUAAAAACAUCGAUAAACUA
Long non-coding RNA from Ahaetulla prasina, 4232 nucleotides. RefSeq lists it as uncharacterized. NCBI's taxonomy places the organism in Eukaryota, Metazoa, Chordata, Lepidosauria, Squamata, Colubridae. The record is from RefSeq and is a predicted model, not a curated record. The transcript has 2 exons.